AAGGCGGGCAGGCAGGCGGCCAACUCGCGCAAAACCAUAUCAACAUGAAAGGGGAAGAAAACAGAGAAAAAGUCGAAACGUACCUGGGGCUCCAAGGUUUCGCGAGGCGGUUCUCGACGAGGCUGUGCUGCCGAUCGAAUUGGAGCGGGUGCGGAUUUGUCGCUGUGGCCGCGGUGGAGGCACGGAGGCUGAGGACGAGGUGCCGUGGUCCGAGUCUGCACCGCCGGCCCAAGGGUUCCUGAUCGCAACAGCAAAUAUGCGUGAGAAUGCCACAACAGCACGAGGAAUUAUCCAAAAUCCAGCGUGCGUGUUUUUUUUUCGCGGUCAACGAACAAGCAAGCGCACGCUGUGAUCGGAAUAGCGAGAGUGCAGACACACGUGAGAGCAGCUCAUCCAUUGAUUUUUAAUUACCUGAUGCUGGCGGGCGGCUGCGGAAGCUGCGACGGCUGCUGGAAGAGGGGCUGCUGCGGUCGAGGAGGAUCCGCUCCAGCUAAUUGCCGGCUGGUGAGCUGCCGGCCAAGCCUCUGGGGCAUCGCUCAUCCUGGCACCACCGCCUGUGAAUUAUGCAACCCGUCAAUCCGACAAGCACUGUGUAAAGCGACACAAAGUUCCCGGAAUAAGAGCUGAGCCUGCCUAUUAUUUUUUGCGGUCAUCAAAUAUGACAUGUUCAAAAAUUUCAUUUUUGGGUGGUCCAGCACAACAUUAUCAGUGGUUAAAAUAAUUGUAUUUCUGGACAGAAGUCAUUAUCUCUGUAAUUAUUGGCUGCAUUAUUAUGAUUAUUAUCAUUAAACUGAGUCGGAACUGUGUGGGAUUUAUAAUGACUUUUCGAUUUGAUGUCUUUUUAAUGGUCACUCACAUGGGAGGCUUAUAACUUGACCUCAUUUAUUUUUGAAAAUGAAAUUUGUAUCA
Long non-coding RNA from Neocloeon triangulifer, 909 nucleotides. RefSeq lists it as uncharacterized. The transcript has 3 exons. The record is from RefSeq and is a predicted model, not a curated record. Lineage: Eukaryota; Metazoa; Arthropoda; Insecta; Ephemeroptera; Baetidae.